UACGUAGGGUGCGAGCGUUGUCCGGAAUUAUUGGGCGUAAAGAGUCUGUAGGCGGUUUGUCGCGUCUGCUGUGAAAAUCCGGGGCUCAACCCCGGACUUGCAGUGGGUACGGGCAGACUAGAGUGUGGUAGGGGAGACUGGAAUUCCUGGUGUAGCGGUGGAAUGCGCAGAUAUCAGGAGGAACACCGAUGGCGAAGGCAGGUCUCUGGGCCACUACUGACGCUGAGAAGCGAAAGCAUGGGGAGCGAACAGG
Molecule: ribosomal RNA, 253 nt
Filed under: uncultured bacterium
Lineage: Bacteria
Description: partial 16S ribosomal RNA
Rfam family: Bacterial small subunit ribosomal RNA
Source: RNAcentral